RNAcentral lists this ribosomal RNA (465 nucleotides) under uncultured bacterium. RNAcentral's name for it is "partial 16S ribosomal RNA". It matches the Rfam family "Bacterial small subunit ribosomal RNA", at positions 338 to 795 of the family's 1533-position model. The record is from RNAcentral.
CCUACGGGAGGCAGCAGUGGGGAAUAUUGCGCAAUGGGCGAAAGCCUGACGCAGCGACGCCGCGUGAGGGAUGAAGGUCUUCGGAUCGUAAACCUCUGUCAGCAGGGAAGAACGGUCACUGUGCUAAUCAGCAGUGAAUUGACGGUACCUGCAAAGGAAGCACCGGCUAACUCCGUGCCAGCAGCCGCGGUAAUACGGAGGGUGCGAGCGUUAAUCGGAAUUACUGGGCGUAAAGCGCUCGUAGGCGGUAUGUCAAGUCAAGGGUGAAAUCCCCGCGCUCAACGUGGGAACUGCCUUUGAAACUGGCAAACUGGAGUGUGUGAGAGGAGAGUGGAAGUCCAGGUGUAGGAGUGAAAUCCGUAGAUAUCUGGAGGAACAUCAGUGGCGAAGGCGACUAUCUGGAACAUAACUGACGCUGAGGAGCGAAAGCGUGGGUAGCAAACAGGAUUAGAUACCCGGGUAGUC